CUCCUCUUUACCAUUAUCAGCUCCUGCAGCAUCGAGGAUAGCGGGAUAGUCGGGGCGGUACUCAUGGGCAAGAUAAGCAUUAGGGUUUUGCUGAGGCUGUUGAAGUUGAAGUUGCUGUUGCUGCUGGGGGAGAGGGAAAAAUCAGUGGAGGAGAGCUUGCCGGUGAGGUAAUCGAGCAGGGGGCUUGCGGUCGAUGAAGGUAAUAGCUGGGACGCCAAGGGCGCGAGCAUUCUGGAGAUAAUCGGUGAACUUGAGAUUGGCGUUCUGG
This 268-nucleotide unclassified non-coding RNA is filed under the name Hevea brasiliensis (rubber tree). The record is from RNAcentral. Lineage: Eukaryota; Viridiplantae; Streptophyta; Magnoliopsida; Malpighiales; Euphorbiaceae.